GGACUACACGGGUUUCUAAUCCUUUUUGCUCCCCAUACUUUCGAGCCUGAGCGUCGGAUCUCGUCCAGCUAGCUGCCUUCGCCGUUGGUGUUCCUCCCGAUAUCUACGCAUUUCACUGCUCCACCGGGAAUUCCACUAGCCCCUCCGAGUCCCUAGACCGACAGUUUCGGGCGCAGUCCCGGGGUUGAGCCCCGGGGUUUCACACCCGACACAUCGGUCCGCCUGCGCUCCCUUUACGCCCAGUGAUUCCGAGUAACGCUUGCAGUCUCUGUAUUACCGCGGCUGCUGGCAC
This 292-nucleotide ribosomal RNA is filed under the name uncultured bacterium. RNAcentral's name for it is "partial 16S ribosomal RNA". The record is from RNAcentral. RNAcentral also lists the same sequence under 1 other name.